ACGGCUCAGUAACACGUGGAUAACCUGCCCUUGGGUCCGGCAUAACUCCGGGAAACUGGAGAUAAUUCCGGAUAACGCAUAUAUGCUGGAAUGCUUUAUGCGUAAAAUGGAUUCGUCUGCCCAAGGAUGGGUCUGCGGCCUAUCAGGUAGUAGUGGGUGUAAUGUACCUACUAGCCUACGACGGGUACGGGUUGUGAGAGCAAGAGCCCGGAGAUGGAUUCUGAGACAUGAAUCCAGGCCCUACGGGGCGCAGCAGGCGCGAAAACUUUACAAUGCGGGAAACCGUGAUAAGGGGACACCGAGUGCCAGCAUCAUAUGCUGGCUGUCCAGGUGUGUAAAAUACACCUGUUAGCAAGGGCCGGGCAAGACCGGUGCCAGCCGCCGCGGUAACACCGGCGGCCCGAGUGGUGAUCGUGAUUAUUGGGUCUAAAGGGUCCGUAGCCGGUUUGGUCAGUCCUCCGGGAAAUCUGAUAGCUUAACUAUUAGGCUUUCGGAGGAUACUGCCAGACUUGGAACCGGGAGAGGUAAGAGGUACUACAGGGGUAGGAGUGAAAUCUUGUAAUCCCUGUGGGACCACCUGUGGCGAAGGCGUCUUACCAGAACGGGUUCGACGGUGAGGGACGAAAGCUGGGGGCACGAACCGGAUUAGAUACCCGGGUAGUCCCAGCCGUAAACGAUGCUCGCUAGGUGUCAGGCAUGGCGCGACCGUGUCUGGUGCCGCAGGGAAGCCGUGAAGCGAGCCACCUGGGAAGUACGGCCGCAAGGCUGAAACUUAAAGGAAUUGGCGGGGGAGCAC
This 796-nucleotide ribosomal RNA is filed under the name uncultured archaeon. Its description in RNAcentral is "bacterial SSU rRNA". It matches the Rfam family "Archaeal small subunit ribosomal RNA", at positions 85 to 879 of the family's 1478-position model. RNAcentral also lists the same sequence under 2 other names. The record is from RNAcentral.